AUGGCCGUCUCCGAUAGGUCGCGCAACGCGCUGCUCCCCAGCUUCCUCUACGCGGCCCCCUCCGCCGCCGCCGCCUCCACCCCUUUCUCUGCGGCCGCUGGCAUUGGUGGCCGCGGGCUCGUCGCACCGUCCCAUGCGGCGGCGACGAGGCCGGCGGCGUGGGCGCGGGCGCCUAGCGAGCCGUCCCGGAAGAUCGAGAUGUACUCGCCCGCCUUCUACGCGGCGUGCACGGCCGGUGGCAUCACCAGCUGCGGGCUCACGCACAUGACCGUCACGCCCCUCGACCUCGUCAAGUGCAACAUGCAGAUUGAUCCAGCCAAGUACAAGAGCAUCUCUUCUGGAUUUGGUGUUCUCUUGAAAGAGCAAGGGGCAAAGGGUUUCUUCAGAGGCUGGGUGCCUACUUUGAUUGGUUACAGUGGUCAAGGCGCCUGCAAAUUUGGUUUCUACGAGUUCUUCAAGAAGUAUUACUCAGAUAUUGCUGGACCUGAGAAUGCAGUCAAGUACAAGACUUUGAUCUAUCUUGCUGGCUCUGCUUCGGCUGAGGUUAUUGCAGAUGUUGCCCUCUGCCCUAUGGAGGCUGUGAAGGUUCGUGUGCAGACACAGCCUGGUUUUGCAAAAGGUUUAUCUGAUGGGCUACCUAAGUUUGUCAAGGCUGAAGGAUAUGCUGGAUUGUACAAGGGAAUUGUUCCUCUCUGGGGCCGUCAAAUUCCAUACACUAUGAUGAAAUUUUCCUCCUUCGAGACGAUUGUUGAGAUGAUCUACAAGUACACAAUUCCUGCCCCCAAGAGCGAGUGCAGCAAGUCUCUCCAGCUCGGAGUGAGCUUUGCAGGGGGUUACGUUGCUGGAGUGUUGUGCGCAAUAGUUUCGCACCCAGCUGACAACCUUGUUUCAUUCCUCAACAAUGCCAAGGGAGCAACUGUGGGCGACGCUGUGAAGAAACUUGGUCUGUGGGGUCUGUUUACUCGUGGUCUCCCUCUGCGUAUCGUGAUGAUUGGUACCCUCACUGGAGCUCAGUGGGGCAUCUAUGAUGCUUUCAAAGUCAUGGUUGGACUGCCAACUACUGGUGGAGUUGCUCCGACUCCUGCUGCCGCUGGAGAGCAGCUCAAGGGCUGA
Molecule: ribosomal RNA, 1113 nt
Filed under: Triticum aestivum (bread wheat)
Lineage: Eukaryota; Viridiplantae; Streptophyta; Magnoliopsida; Poales; Poaceae
Description: partial small subunit ribosomal RNA
Source: RNAcentral